Molecule: long non-coding RNA, 595 nt
Filed under: Cricetulus griseus (Chinese hamster)
Lineage: Eukaryota; Metazoa; Chordata; Mammalia; Rodentia; Cricetidae
Description: lncRNA (ENSCGRG00015030865.1)
Source: RNAcentral
CUUCCUUGUAGUAAUCCCCCCUCAGAACAACCUGUUGGUUCACUCUAUGUAAACAUCCUGUCUUAAAUUUCCCUCCAAGACUGGAAGGUUUUCAUUUCAUAAGAAAUUGCUACACAACAGGAGCUCAUUUGGAAAAGUGGAGGUGGAGUGGUAAUAUGACACUGAGAAAACUGAGGAUCACAGCAGGAAAUAAAGCCCUCAUCCAGUGGCUGAUGGAAGCAGAGGCAGACAUCCACAGAUACUCACUGAACUGAACUCUGGAACUUAGUUGCAGAGAGGGAGGAAUGAAGGGGGUUGGUACCAGGUUGGAGAAACCCACAGAAACAGUUGGCCUGAACAAGGGGGAGCACAUCGACCCCAGAUGCUGUCUGGGAGGCCAGUACAGGACUGAUCCAGACCCCUGAACAUGGAUGUCAAUGAGGAGGCCUCUGCACUCUAAGAGGCCACUGGUAGUGGAUUAGUAUUUUUCCCUGGUGUAAGAAGAGACUUUGAGAGCCCAUCCCACGUGAAGGGAUGCACUCUUGCCCUGGACACAUGGGGAAGGGCCUAGGCUCAGCCCAGGAUGAUGUGGUGGGCUUUACGGAGCCCUCAUUCC